UUCUAGAGAUUUAUUUUGUUCCUUUGAAUAUGCUAAUUCUCCUGUAUACUUGGUUAUUGUUAAAUGCCUUAAUUUCCUAAAAGUCUUAUGCUUGCUUCUUCUUGGGGUGAUUUAUGUUCUAUGCUUGAUAUCUGACCUAUUUCAAGCUAUGCAGCUAUUCUCAUCUGAAGUCAUCAGUUGGGAUGGAAACCAGUCUCUCAGCAGUACUUAAACAGGUCAGAAAGUUGCCAGCAGUUCCAAUCUAUUAUUUUUAUCUCAAAGGAAAAAUCAGCAGUAGAGUGGCUUCCCUCCUUCGACUCAGUUUCAGGGAAGGGGUGAGAACACCCUGUGAAGAGGAAGGCAGAGAUUGGAAUGAUGCAGAAGAAGCCAACGAAUCUAGGAGAGAGGCAUGAAUUUCCCCUUCAUAGUCCUUGUAAGGAGCCAACCCUGCUGCACCUUUAUCUCAAAUGUCCAGCUUCCAGAACUGCAAGACAGUAAAUUUCUGCUGUUUAA
This 492-nucleotide long non-coding RNA is filed under the name Homo sapiens (human). RNAcentral's name for it is "HSALNT0408171". The record is from RNAcentral. Lineage: Eukaryota; Metazoa; Chordata; Mammalia; Primates; Hominidae.